GGAUGUGAGGGCGAUCUGGCUGCGACAUCUGUCACCCCACUGAUCGCCAGGGUUGAUUCGGCUGAUCAGGCUGGCUAGGUGGGUGUCCCCUUCCUCCCUCAAUGAUCCAUGUGCGUCCCUCCCAAAGCUGCAUGCUCGGUUGAGGAGGACGCCCACCCCCGGUAGAGGAGGACCCUGUCUCGGUCAGGGGUAUACGAGUAGCUGCGCUCCCCUGCUAGAACCUCCACACAAGCUCCUCGAGAAGCUGCCCCCAGCGCCUGUAUGGCCAUCAGGGAGCUCCCGCAGCUGGAGCAGCUGGUGCGUGCCCAUAAUCCCAACACUCUGGAAAGCUGAGUCAGGAAGAUUGCAAGUUUGGGUCCAGUCUGUGUAAGAG
RNAcentral lists this small RNA (373 nucleotides) under Octodon degus (degu). RNAcentral describes it as "7SK RNA (ENSODEG00000023087.1)". It matches the Rfam family "7SK RNA", at positions 1 to 255 of the family's 331-position model. From Rfam's summary of the family: 7SK was discovered as an abundant small nuclear RNA in the mid-70s but a possible function has only recently been suggested. Two independent studies have found that 7SK RNA binds the CDK9/cyclin T complex (known as elongation factor P-TEFb). Lineage: Eukaryota; Metazoa; Chordata; Mammalia; Rodentia; Octodontidae. The record is from RNAcentral.